GGAUGAAGAACGUAGUGAAAUGCGAUACGUAAUGUGAAUUGCAGAAUUCAGUGAAUCAUCGAAUCUUUGAACGCAUAUUGCGCUCUCUGGUAUUCCGGAGAGCAUGCUUGUUUGAGUAUCAGUAAACACCUCAACUCCCUUUUCUUUUUUGAAAUGGGAGCUGGACUUGAGUGAUCCCAACACUUUUCUCACUGGAAAGUGGCGGGUCACUUGAAAUGCAGGUGCAGCUGGACUUUUCUCUGAGCUAUAAGCAUAUCUAUUUAGUCUGCCUAAAAAACAGAUUAUUACCUUUGCUGCAGCUAACAUAAAGGAGAUGAGUUCUUGUGCUGACUGAUGCAGGAUUCACAGAGACAGCUUUGCGGCUGACUUUGUAAACUCGAUCUCAAAUCAAGUAAGACUACCCGCUGAACUUAAGCAUAUCAAUAAGCGGAGGA
Molecule: unclassified non-coding RNA, 434 nt
Filed under: soil metagenome
Description: partial contains 5.8S ribosomal RNA, internal transcribed spacer 2, and large subunit ribosomal RNA
Rfam family: 5.8S ribosomal RNA (bases 2-121)
Source: RNAcentral